GGACUAUGAUAGGAUACCCUAGAGUCUCUGAACCAUUUCGUGUUUGUAAAAACAACGCUCUUUGUCUGAGUCAG
Molecule: non-coding RNA, 74 nt
Organism: Caenorhabditis brenneri
Lineage: Eukaryota; Metazoa; Nematoda; Chromadorea; Rhabditida; Rhabditidae
Source: Rfam